This 535-nucleotide ribosomal RNA is filed under the name uncultured organism. Its description in RNAcentral is "bacterial SSU rRNA". It matches the Rfam family "Bacterial small subunit ribosomal RNA", at positions 9 to 578 of the family's 1533-position model. The record is from RNAcentral.
GAGUUUGAUCUUGGCUCAAAAUGAACGUUGGCGGCGUGGAUUAGGCAUGCAAGUCCAGCGUGAUUCUUCAUCAAUGGAGAUGAAAGCGGCGAAAGGGAUAGUAACACGUAGAUCACGUGCCCUCGGGUCAGGGAUAGCGUCGGGAAACUGACGGUAAUACCAGAUAAUGUCUCCGGACCAAAGAUUUAUUGCCCGAGGAGCGGUCUGCGUCCUAUUAGCUAGUUGGUGGGGUAAUGGCCCACCAAGGCGAAGAUGGGUAGCGGGUGUGAGAGCACGACCCGCAUCACUGGGACUGAGAUACUGCCCAGACACCUACGGGUGGCUGCAGUCGAGAAUCUUCCGCAAUGGACGAAAGUCUGACGGAGCGACGCCGCGUGCGGGAUGAAGGCCUUCGGGUUGUAAACCGCUGUCGUAGGGGAGCAAAUUUUGAGCGAUCCUAGGAGGAAGCACCGGCUAAACUCGUGCCAGCAGCCGCGGUAAUACGAGUGGUGCAAACGUUAUUCGGAAUCACUGGGCUUAAAGGGUGCGUAGGCGG